Molecule: ribosomal RNA, 492 nt
Filed under: uncultured bacterium
Lineage: Bacteria
Description: partial 16S ribosomal RNA
Rfam family: Bacterial small subunit ribosomal RNA
Source: RNAcentral
AGUGAACGCUGGCGGUAUGCCUAACACAUGCAAGUCGAGCGGCCGCACAGUAAGAGUUUGCCUCUACCGUUGGCGAGUGGCGGGUGGGUGAGGCGUACAUCGCAUACUAAUUUUUCUUGGGGGACUUCGUAAGGCCACUUAUGCUACUACCUAAUAUGUUAUACGGCAUGAUUCAGGAGUGCUUGACAGCUUUCCUGUCACUUAUAGCCGGUGUCGGAUUAGCUAGUUGGCUUGGUAAAGGCCCACCAAGGCGACGAUCCGUAGCUGAUCUGAGAGGAUGAUCAGCCACACUGGAACUGAGACACGGUCCAGACUCCUACGGGAGGCAGCAGUGGGGAAUAUUGGACAAUGGGCGCAAGCCUGAUCCAGCCAUACCGCGUGGGUGAAGAAGGCCUUCGGGUUGUAAAGCCCUUUUGUUGGGAAAGAAAAGCAGCAGGUUAAUACCCCGCUGUUCUGACGGUACCCAAAGAAUAAGCACCGGCUAACUUCGUG